This 716-nucleotide ribosomal RNA is filed under the name Funneliformis mosseae. RNAcentral's name for it is "bacterial SSU rRNA". It matches the Rfam family "Eukaryotic small subunit ribosomal RNA", at positions 46 to 1093 of the family's 1831-position model. The record is from RNAcentral. Lineage: Eukaryota; Fungi; Glomeromycota; Glomeromycetes; Glomerales; Glomeraceae.
AAGCAAAUGGAUGGUCUGCGGGAUGUAUACUUGAAGUAAUUGACAAGAAACCAGAGUGGUUGGUUACCCAAUCCCGACACGGGGAGGUAGUGACAAUAAAUAACAAUACAGGGUUCUUUUGGAUCUUGUAAUUGGAAUGAGUACAAUUUAAAUCUCUUAACGAGGAACAAUUGGAGGGCAAGUCUGGUGCCAGCAGCCGCGGUAAUUCCAGCUCCAAUAGCGUAUAUUAAAGUUGUUGCAGUUAAAAAGCUCGUAGUUGAAUUUCGGGAUCAAUAUUUCGGUCAUGCCGUUGGUAUGCACUGUUAUCAUUGAUUUCUCACCUUCUAAAGAACCGUAAUGCCAUUAAUUUGGUGUUACGGGGAAUUAGGACUGUUACCUUGAAAAAAUUAGAGUGUUUAAAGCAGGCUCACGCUUGAAUACAUUAGCAUGGAAUAAUGAAAUAGGACAUCCGAUUCUAUUUUGUUGGUUUCUAGGAUCGAUGUAAUGAUUAAUAGGGAUAGUUGGGGGCAUUAGUAUUCAAUUGUCAGAGGUGAAAUUCUUGGAUAUAUUGAAGACUAACUACUGCGAAAGCAUUUGCCAAGGAUGUUUUCAUUAAUCAAGAACGAAAGUUAGGGGAUCGAAGACGAUCAGAUACCGUCGUAGUCUUAACCAUAAACUAUGCCGACUAGGGGAUCGGAUGAUGUUAAUUUUUUAAUGACUCAUUCCGCGGCUUAGCC